GACGAAGUCUCGGGUGGAGGUGCGGCCGGGCGUUGCGGGUGAUCAUGAAGAUCUGUCCUGGGCUUGCGCAAAGCGCAGAUUAGGAAAGCGUUGAGGAGAGCCGCGGAGCAGCUUGCCCUGGAGCCCGGCGCCGGACCGGGAAUGCAGCCGGCGCGGGUCGCCACGAAGCGCAAGGCGCGGGGCCAGGCAGACAGAGCUCCGGCAGGUUGCUGCGGCCUUCUUCGCACCCUGCAGCUGGAGCUGGGCUCCCUGGGUCCGCAGGGCCUCCGCAGCUUCUCAGGGGACAGCGGUGGGGAAGGAAGCCGGGAACUCCCCGGAGCACGGAGUUGCAAUGGCUGUACCCUGAGAAAAAGCAGGCAACGAAGAGUAAGAGUUCAUCCCAGCUCUUCUGUCCAUCCAUUGACCAGGUCCACAAGCGAGACCCCUUCGAAGCUGAUUCCAACCACCCAGAGCCGGGGUCAAGUUUGGACUUUACAGACUUGCUGGCCUCACCACCCUGGGAUGCUGCUCCCUGACCCCACUGGCUCUCAGGGACGUCAAGCCAAAUGAAAAAGUCUACACAGUGCUUUCUGGGAGAGGUGACUAGAAGAGGACAUUACACCCGGGGUCGAGCAAGCAAAAUGCUCCAGGUCACACCAAAGAAUGCUGUCUCCUUUCUAGAACUGGAGGGCCCUGUGCCAGGCUUGGGAUGUGUCUGUGUCAGCAGUGCCUCAAGAAACAGGCUACAUUCUCCAACUGAGUCCCAGAGUGAAGACAAAACUGAGCAGAGAAGCAGUCAGCUUGUGAUGGACAUCUAGGAUGAAUGAGAAGUAUGCCCAAUAAACUCUUCCUUCUAUAA
Molecule: long non-coding RNA, 838 nt
Organism: Nannospalax galili (Upper Galilee mountains blind mole rat)
Lineage: Eukaryota; Metazoa; Chordata; Mammalia; Rodentia; Spalacidae
Exons: 4
Source: RefSeq, a predicted model, not a curated record